CGAGCACGCGCGUGUGGCAUAUCAAUAAGCGGAGGAAAAGAAACUAACUAGGAUUCCCUCAGUAACGGCGAGUGAAGCGGGAAAAGCUCAAAUUUGAAAUCUUCAAGGUUUUACCUUGACGAAUUGUAGUUUAUAGAAGUGUUUUCCUGUUAGUGGAGUUGGUAAAAGUUCUUUGGAAUAGGACAUCAUAGAGGGUGAGAAUCCCGUAUUUGAUCCAUUACUUCCUAGCGUUGUGAUACACUUUCAAAGAGUCGGAUUGUUUGGGAAUGCAGUCCAAAAUAGGUGGUAAAUUUCAUCUAAAGCUAAAUAUUGGCGAGAGACCGAUAGCGAACAAGUACCGUGAGGGAAAGAUGAAAAGGACUUUGAAAAGAGAGUUAAACAGUACGUGAAAUUGUCAAAAGGGAAGCGUUUGACACCAGUGUUGUUUUUCCGAAAAUCAAUUACGAAUGUUUUGUUUUUGAGGAGUUAUGACUUCAUCGGCUUGCUUCUCUCUUUACUGAAACUUUCUUAAUGCACUUUUCGGUUAACAAGUCAACAUCAAUUUCUUUUGUUGUAAAAGGGUAUGAGGAAGGUGGCUUUCUUUUCGGAGAAAGUGUUUAUAGCCUUGUGCCUCUAGCAAUCGGAGAGAUUGAGGUCUGCAGCGUAGAUCCUUCGGGGUUAGAUACGUUUGUGCUAAGUUAUAGCUUUUCAUAGACAACUUGUUGACUAUGUUUAGUCUUGUAGCUUACUCGCUGACGCUAUUUUACCUACGCUUAGGAUGUUGAUGUGAUACUGCGAGCA
This 780-nucleotide ribosomal RNA is filed under the name uncultured Neocallimastigales. RNAcentral describes it as "partial large subunit ribosomal RNA". It matches the Rfam family "Eukaryotic large subunit ribosomal RNA", at positions 19 to 646 of the family's 3401-position model. The record is from RNAcentral. Lineage: Eukaryota; Fungi; Neocallimastigomycota; Neocallimastigomycetes; Neocallimastigales.